GUACUAAUUUGUAAAAGGGUCUUUCCACAGAAAGAGGCUGAAUAUUCUCACUCUGUGAAUACUUUCACUCUGGAGAGACAGGAAUAACCUCCUUAGCAUUCACCACCGUGUGUCUCAAGUUGUUGGCAAUACUACAGUUCUUGGAUUCAUACAUAUUUUUAGGGCAUAUUUACUAAUGCUGCUUCAAGAGACACAAGCUCACUCUGCUCCUGUUCCAAAGGAAGCAAAGCCAGGAGACUGUGUAACUACCACGAAACCCAAUCAGCCCUGCUGCAAGGAUAUGUUCUCAUUCAGGAAGUCUGGUGUUAAUUACUUUGAAUCAAAGAGCCGGACAAGCAUAUCCUUCCAGUUUGGAAGAUAUACAUCUGGUGGGGUUAAGAAGAGAUUUUGCUAAUGUUCAGGUAACUUCUAUAUGGGAAAACAGUAUCACUCAUUCUUCUGUUUAGCAAAAGUUAUUGCUCAUGUGUGAGUCACAAAUAAAUGGAGAAU
Molecule: long non-coding RNA, 489 nt
Organism: Melopsittacus undulatus (budgerigar)
Lineage: Eukaryota; Metazoa; Chordata; Aves; Psittaciformes; Psittaculidae
Exons: 4
Source: RefSeq, a predicted model, not a curated record